GAUGCAGGUAUUUGUUAAUUUUUAGACGUUAUGUUUGACCAUCCGUCUUAUUCAAAAAUUUUGUAAAUAUAUUAUUUAUUUUGUUAUGAUUUAUUUUAUUAUAUUUCAAGUAUGACUUAUUUGUUUUUAUAUUUCUAUAAAUUUUUUAAAUAAGACGGAUGGUUAAACGUGAUGUACGGAAACAGAUAAAUGCUUAUAUU
Molecule: microRNA precursor, 200 nt
Filed under: Leersia perrieri
Lineage: Eukaryota; Viridiplantae; Streptophyta; Magnoliopsida; Poales; Poaceae
Description: MIR812 microRNA precursor family
Rfam family: MIR812 microRNA precursor family
Source: Rfam by way of RNAcentral